This 26-nucleotide non-coding RNA is filed under the name Homo sapiens (human). The record is from RNAcentral. Lineage: Eukaryota; Metazoa; Chordata; Mammalia; Primates; Hominidae.
UAGUGAGUGUCCAAGAUAGAGGUGUG